GACAGGACAGGACAGGACAGGACAGGACAGGACAGGACAGGACUGCGAUGCUCAGCGGGUGGAGCCGCAGGAUAUGGCACUCUGUGGCCGCUGUGCUGCUCGUGGCUGUGGCCAGAGCCGAGGUGCAGCAGGAGCCGUUUCUGGAGACCACCGAGGGUAGCGGCAUCAACAUCAACUGCUCACAUCCCAAAAUCAAGACCAACGAGUGGAUCCAGUGGUACCAUCAGCUCCCGGGAGGAGAACCCAAACUCCUCGCAGUCAUUGUGAAAGGGUCCAAAGAGCUGCCGGAGAGAGAAGGUCGUCUGUGGGUGUCGGCUGAUCGGCGUUGGAGCGCGCUGUGGCUGUGGCGGCCCCGGCGCGGGGACGCGGCCGUGUAUUACUGCGCGCUGGGCGCACGGGCAGAGGAGCCGGGGCUGCGGCCGGGCACGAACCGCCGCGGGCGGGGCCGGGCGGGGCCGGGGGCGCAGCGCCGGCCGCGGCCAGCAGGGGGCGCUGCCGCUCCGCCCGCCGGGCCUUGCCGGGCCCGGGCUGGGGGGCGCUCCCGACACCGGCACCGACACCGGAACCGCAUGAGGCACUGACACCGGUAAUGGGAUCGACACUGAC
This is a non-coding RNA of Prinia subflava (tawny-flanked prinia), 606 nucleotides long. NCBI's taxonomy places the organism in Eukaryota, Metazoa, Chordata, Aves, Passeriformes, Cisticolidae. The record is from the annotation of a RefSeq genome assembly.